GUCUGCACUUGUCGGGGAAGGGUGAGAACCUUCGACUAAGGUUCGAUUCGAGCGCAGCGAGAAAGCGUUGCCGCAGGCAACGACCCGAAGGGUGAGGAGCGCAGCGACGAAUAAUCCUUCCCCCACCACCA
This 131-nucleotide small RNA is filed under the name Salmonella enterica subsp. enterica serovar Hadar. Its description in RNAcentral is "RtT RNA". It matches the Rfam family "RtT RNA". From Rfam's summary of the family: This family represents a bacterial cis-regulatory element known as RtT RNA. The record is from RNAcentral. Lineage: Bacteria; Pseudomonadati; Pseudomonadota; Gammaproteobacteria; Enterobacterales; Enterobacteriaceae.